Mesocricetus auratus (golden hamster) is the source of this 797-nucleotide long non-coding RNA. RefSeq lists it as uncharacterized. The transcript has 3 exons. The record is from RefSeq and is a predicted model, not a curated record. NCBI's taxonomy places the organism in Eukaryota, Metazoa, Chordata, Mammalia, Rodentia, Cricetidae.
GUUGGCACACACACACAGAAAACCACGAUGAAGGUUCCAAGACAUUAGAGGGAUAAUCAUCGGGGCUUGUUGUCUUGGUCUCCAGGGCUGACAGAACAGAACUCCACGGACUAGACAUCACACAAGCACCAGAGUCAACUUGCCCCCAUCCCUCUAGGAGAAGGGUGGGCAAGGAAGAUUGGAGGACAUGCAAGGGUCGUCUUGACAGAAGAGAUCUUGGAGACUACUCUGUCUUCCUGCUGUGUGAGGACCCAGCUCAGAGUCAAGCGUCUAAGCAAGCAUGGGUGUCAUCAGAACCCACCUGUGCAGUGUCUCUCACCUGGACUUCUCUUGUUUCCCAAGAACCCAACGUUAAUGGUCUUUGAUAGCAUCUCAAGUGAAGGUGAUAGAUGUGUACACUACAUGAUUGCGAAGACCCACAACAUGACAGCAUGCCAUCUGACCUGUCAACCUGUGCUGGAUACCUGAAGAGGUUUCUUCUCUUCACUGGCAGAGAUGUAGCAACACAUACGUGGAUCCUGAUCUUCAUUCUGGGUGCUUAAUGAUUCUGGUUAUGAAGAACGAGGUGCCAAGACAUGGCGGACAUCAUUGCAGGGGAGACCGCCGAGGGCCUCUCCCAGCAGGGAUUGAGAAGGGUGACUUCACCCACAUUUGAAACAGCGGGAGUCAACACUGGGGUCGUCCCUUGCACGUCACCAUGGGGUUCUUUUUCCAGUGGGAGAGUGGCGAGCAUCACUUUCACCACAAGUUUCCACUUGGUGUUCCUGCUGCUGAGGAGUUUCAGGACACGGGCAACU